Callithrix jacchus (white-tufted-ear marmoset) is the source of this 685-nucleotide non-coding RNA. NCBI's taxonomy places the organism in Eukaryota, Metazoa, Chordata, Mammalia, Primates, Cebidae. The record is from RefSeq and is a predicted model, not a curated record.
AGAAGCGGUGGUAGCGGAGGCAGUACUGGGGCUGGUGGUGGUUCCAGCUGCGGGGCAGGCAUUGGCCGUAGUGGCUUGUUGGAUAAGUGGCAGAUAGACGAUAAGUCUGUAAAAACUGACAAGUGGGAUGGAUCAGCCGUGAAAAACUCUUUGGAUGACUCUGCCAAAAAGGUACUUCUGGAAAAAUACAAAUAUGUGGAGAAUUUUGGUCUAAUUGACGGUCGCCUCACCAUCUGUACACUCUCUUGUUUCUUUGCCAUAGUGGCUUUGAUUUGGGAUUAUAUGCACCCCUUUGCAGAGUCCAAACCCGUUUUGGCUUUGUGCGUCAUAUCCUAUUUUGUGAUGAUGGGGAUUCUGACCAUUUAUACCUCAUAUAAGGAGAAGAGCAUCUUCCUUGUGGCCCACAGGAAAGAUCCUACAGGAAUGGAUCCUGAUGAUAUUUGGCAGCUGUCCUCCAGUCUUCAAAGGUUUAAUGACAAAUAAACCUUGAAGCUGACCUUCAGCAGUGGGAGAACAAAGCAGCAGCGGGAAGCCGAGUUCACCAAGUCCGUUGCUAAGUUUUUUGACCACAGUGGGACACUGGUCAUGGAUGCAUAUGAGCCUGAAAUAUCCAGGCUCCAUGACUGAAAUAUCCAGGCUUCUGGUCUUGCCAUAGAAAGAAAAAUAAAAUAGCCAAUUCUAAAAG